GAUGAACGCUGGCGGCGUGCCUAAUACAUGCAAGUCGAGCGAACAGACGAGGAGCUUGCUCCUCUGACGUUAGCGGCGGACGGGUGAGUAACACGUGGUUAACCUACCUAUAAGACUGGGAUAACUUCGGGAAACCGGAACUAAUACCGGAUAAUAUAUUGAACCGCAUGGUUCAAUAAUGAAAAACGGUUUUGCUGUCACUUAUAGAUGGAUCCGCGCCGCAUUAGCUAGUUGGUAAGGUAAUGGCUUACCAAGUCAACGAUGCGUAGCCGACCUGAGCGGGUGAUCAGCCACACUGGAACUGAGACACGGUCCAGACUCCUAAUGGAGGCAGCAGUAGGGAAUCUUCCGCAAAGGGCGAAAGCCUGACGGAGCAACGCCGCGUGAGUGAUGAAGGUCUUCGGAUCGUAAAACUCUGUUAUUAGGGAAGAACAAAUGUGUAAGUAACGAUGCACGUCUUGACGGUACCUAAUCAGAAAGCCACGGCUAACUACGUG
Molecule: ribosomal RNA, 497 nt
Filed under: uncultured bacterium
Lineage: Bacteria
Description: partial 16S ribosomal RNA
Rfam family: Bacterial small subunit ribosomal RNA
Source: RNAcentral